Molecule: ribosomal RNA, 254 nt
Filed under: uncultured bacterium
Lineage: Bacteria
Description: partial 16S ribosomal RNA
Rfam family: Bacterial small subunit ribosomal RNA
Source: RNAcentral
UACGAAGGGGGGCUAGCGUUGUUCGGAAUUACUGGGCGUAAAGCGCGCGCAGGCGGCCAUUCAAGUCAGGGGUGAAAGCCCAGAGCUCAACUCUGGAACUGCCCUUGAAACUGCAUGGCUUGAGUACGAGAGAGGUGAGUGGAAUUCCCAGUGUAGAGGUGAAAUUCGUAGAUAUUCGCAAGAACACCAGUGGCGAAGGCGGCUCACUGGCCCGGUACUGACGCUGAGGUGCGAAAGCGUGGGGAGCAAACAGG